CAAGACAGCCAGACUAUCGCAGACCGCAAGGUAUGAGGAAAGUCCGAGCAUCACAAGGCAGAGUGCCGGCUAAUUACCGGUCAAGGCGACUUGAAGGAAAGUGCAACAGAAAUAGACCGCCUGCAAUUUUGCAGGUAAGGAUGGAAAGGCGGAGUAAGAGCCCACCGUCUUCGAGGUAACUCGAAGAGCCAUGUAAACCCCACUUGAUGCAAGAGAAAGCGACGUUAAGGUAGCCUGCCAGUCGCGAAAAUCGCUUGAACGCAACGGUAACGUUGCGUCUAGACAGAUGAUAGUCCAAUACAGAACUCGGCUUAUAGACUGUCUUGCUUA
Molecule: RNase P RNA, 330 nt
Filed under: Clostridia bacterium
Lineage: Bacteria; Bacillati; Bacillota; Clostridia
Description: RNase P RNA component class A
Rfam family: Bacterial RNase P class A
About the family: Ribonuclease P (RNase P) is a ubiquitous endoribonuclease, found in archaea, bacteria and eukarya as well as chloroplasts and mitochondria. Its best characterised activity is the generation of mature 5'-ends of tRNAs by cleaving the 5'-leader elements of precursor-tRNAs.
Source: RNAcentral